UUUUUUUUUUUGCUUUUGGUGGACUGUGGUUUCACUAGAUGUGUGCAUGGGUAGAUCUCUUUUUUAUUUUGCUAUUUGAGAUUUACUGGGCUUGAAUUUGUGAAUUAGUGUCUUUCAACAGUCCUGGGAUGUUCUUAGCCAUUGUAUUGUCAGACAUUGAUUCUUCUCCAUUUUCUCUCUCUUCUCUUUCUGAAAGUUCAAAUAGAUGAUUGUUAGAUCCCACUCUGUCCUUCCUAUGCCUUAAUCUCUAUUUUGUUUUCUAUUAGUUCCCUCUUCAGCUAUAUGUCUUUUUUUUUUAAUUAAUAGAUUUGUUUGUUUGUUUGUUUGAGACAGGGUCUUGCACUGCUGCCUAGGCUAGAGUGCAGUGGUGCAAUCAGGGCUCACUGCAGCCUCACUCAACUUCCCAGUCUCAAGCCAUCCUCCUACCUCAGCCUCUGUUCCACUAAUCUACUUGUCAAUUUUUCCAGCAACACCACACCCUCCUGAUCACCAUAGCUUUAUGGUAAGACACCCCUACUCUGUCCAGACCCAACUGUCAACAGAAGCCAAAGCCAUCUGGAGGAGCAUGCAACAACAAGAAACAAAUUUAUUAGCUAACCUAACCACUAAUGACGCAAGAGACAAUUCUAAGGACUUUCAAAACAGCAAAGUAGGAGCAGCUGCUACCUCUAGGGAUGAGGGAGAAACUCAAAAAUGCAUACAAAAACCAUUGCAUGAAAAGUGACUGGAUUUGUACAUAGCGUCAGGAGAUGUGCGUAGUGUCAAAGUAUCUCAUCACACAUUACUUGAUAAUUACAAAUGAGAAAAAUGAACCUUCACAGUGGCAAGACUUGACUUCUACCUCUUUCAAAAAGAUGCAAUUGUCCAAUUAUUGGUGAAAUUGUCAUUUCAUGCUAUUGGCUAUUUGAAAUUCCUCCUCUAAUUUCAGAAUAAAUCACUGAAAUUGACAUCGGCCAGUCUGAAUUUCAAGAAAUUACCUGCUGAAGACAAGAGGGAUCUCUUCUUCAGAUUUGCAGUCUGGGGAAGACACAGCCUCUACUGUACUUUAGAACCUGAGAUAUGGUGGUGGAGGGAGCCCUGGGUCGAGUGGUAAGAUUCACCCUUAGGUUAGUAUUGACGUAAGGUGACGAGGAGCUGUAGACAAAAGAUUGUAACCAUAAGAACUUCAUAGUUUUUGUAUUUUCACCGAGCUUAUAUUUGGUGUGUUUUUUGUCUUUUCUUUAUGAUUAUCAAUAAAA
This 1238-nucleotide long non-coding RNA is filed under the name Homo sapiens (human). Its description in RNAcentral is "long intergenic non-protein coding RNA 470". The record is from RNAcentral. Lineage: Eukaryota; Metazoa; Chordata; Mammalia; Primates; Hominidae.